RNAcentral lists this ribosomal RNA (398 nucleotides) under Myroides sp. AZTITEMP115. Its description in RNAcentral is "bacterial SSU rRNA". It matches the Rfam family "Bacterial small subunit ribosomal RNA", at positions 934 to 1325 of the family's 1533-position model. The record is from RNAcentral. Lineage: Bacteria; Pseudomonadati; Bacteroidota; Flavobacteriia; Flavobacteriales; Flavobacteriaceae.
GGAGCCAUGUGGUUUAAUUCGAUGAUACGCGAGGAACCUUACCAGGGCUUAAAUGUAGAUUGACAGGUUUGGAAACAGAUUUUUCUUCGGACAAUUUACAAGGUGCUGCAUGGUUGUCGUCAGCUCGUGCCGUGAGGUGUCAGGUUAAGUCCUAUAACGAGCGCAACCCCUAUUGUUAGUUGCCAGCGAGUCAUGUCGGGAACUCUAGCAAGACUGCCGGUGCAAACCGAGAGGAAGGUGGGGAUGACGUCAAAUCAUCACGGCCCUUACGUCCUGGGCUACACACGUGCUACAAUGGUCAGUACAGAAAGCAGCUACCUGGCGACAGGAUGCGAAUCUCAAAAGCUGAUCACAGUUCGGAUCGGAGUCUGCAACUCGACUCCGNGAANNNNNAUCGC